Molecule: unclassified non-coding RNA, 255 nt
Filed under: Hevea brasiliensis (rubber tree)
Lineage: Eukaryota; Viridiplantae; Streptophyta; Magnoliopsida; Malpighiales; Euphorbiaceae
Source: RNAcentral
UGUUGUAUUCUGGCAGCAUCCGCGACAACAUUGUGUUUGGAAAGCUUGACGCAUCCGAGAAUGAGGUGGUGGAGGCUGCCAGGGCCGCCAAUGCUCAUGAAUUCAUUUCAUCAUUGAAAGAUGGCUACGAGACGGAGUCUGGGGAAAGAGGAGUGCAGCUAUCAGGAGGACAAAAGCAAAGAAUAGCAAUUGCAAGAGCUAUAAUUCGCAACCCAACAAUACUAUUACUAGACGAGGCAACAAGUGCACUUGAUG